GAUUGGUUGAAGUUUCAAUCCCUUAGCUUGCAGCUAUGACCCAUUUCGGCUUAGGGGAAAGUCCCCUUAGGGAAGUCCCUAUUGACCCAGGAAGUCCAGCCAACUUAGCCACUUAGUCCCUCAGCCCUGGCUUGUGGAAGCAGAGAUUCCUAAUACGGCCCUCACUUCUCCACUUUCUCCACUGGGGUUGGAAGCAGUAGGAGUAGCUAUAGAGGAUGUAUUAACACCAAUUUACAGAGAUCCUAUUGAAUUUACAUCUCUCCAGCAGGUGUGAUGCAAGGAAAACAAAGCUAAUACCCAAAGUCUUUGAGCGUGGAAAGAGAGAAAGUCCACUUUAAGCGAUGGAAAAUCAGCCCCAAUUCUGAAGGAACAACCAUGAACAGAUGAUUUAAGGAGAAUCAAUUCUUUGCUCUUUGCAGAAGGAGCCAACAGAGUGAGAUGAAGGGGACAACUUCAGAUACUCAGGCAGAAGCAUAAGUCCCCACCUGCUGACCUGCUGCCUGCUAUCUUAACACGAAUUCUUCAUCUGAAUGGAUGAGCUUUUCACAGAGUUCCAAACUAAGGAAUCCAGGAGUGGCCAAUCCAGAGAUUCAUUCCUUAUCUUUGACGAACAUCUGAACUCCUGGCUCAUCCUGUGGAAUUCAGGCCAUACAGGAGAUCAAGGUCAUUUGCUUUGGGUUAAAUGAAUGUUGCCAGGUGGAGGUUGCUAGAGGGAGAGUGCUAUGUGAAAGUGCUGUAUAAACUGCUUGCUUUUCACAAACAGUAGUGAUUCUUUAUCCUGUCCAGCCUGCCACAACUGGACCAUCCUGUAUGUAAGUCCCCUUAAUAAAUCCUGUGUCUCAUUCACUGGCUUCAAGUCUCUUCCUGGGCCUCUUGAACGUGGUGCCACCUGUAUUGAAGUCAACAGAAGUUCAGCACAACACAGGUCAAAAUGAAGAUUCUGACUCAGUAGGUCAGGAUGUUCUAACGAGCUCUAGCUGACAUGAUACGUCAGGGCUGCAGACUAGCUUUGAGCAACAAGG
Molecule: long non-coding RNA, 1022 nt
Filed under: Homo sapiens (human)
Lineage: Eukaryota; Metazoa; Chordata; Mammalia; Primates; Hominidae
Description: HSALNT0319138
Source: RNAcentral